This 260-nucleotide long non-coding RNA is filed under the name Phoenix dactylifera (date palm). Its description in RNAcentral is "long non-coding RNA (PDAC_LNC005159)". The record is from RNAcentral. Lineage: Eukaryota; Viridiplantae; Streptophyta; Magnoliopsida; Arecales; Arecaceae.
CAGCAUUUAGUAAAUCGAGCAGCCUCUUUCUCUCACUUGCACAAUAAUGGACAAGCACCUGCAUUAACAAUAAUAAAAGGAUGAGAUCAUCAACAUCCUAAAUUAGUUAGAUAUAUUGUAUGCUGAAAAUUAAAAAUAUGACUAUACAUACCUGAUUCUUGAAGUUGUCUUUCACAUGACGGAAACAAUAUGAGUGGUAACUACCAGAAAAGUACUUCGGCACUGAUUUAAUAAUUCCUUGAUGUCUAUCCGUCAUAAAU